CUUGAACAGUUAACUACAUAAAAAAUAUAUCAUUUCCCUAGUUAUGAACUGAAAUGGUUAUACCACAUAGAUUGAUGACAAUGGCAGCUCAGAAAAGUUGUACUUCAAAAUUUCACUAUUUUCUUGUGUAGAUUUCAAUAAGUCAAUGGAGCAUUUUUGAGACAUGCAAUUGUAGGCCAAGCCUGGGGAUGGCAGAGCUAGAGAAGCUCAAACAACUAAGAAAGAAGAGAUGAACCACAUUCUGGAUGAUGCUGAAAUUACCAUUUAUUAUGUUCAACCUCUGUCUGGAAGCCGACUACCUAGAAGAGACCAAAGGUUCCAUGAUGGAUAAGAAUUUUAUCUUUUCAGAGGUCUGAAAUCUACAGAUUACAGUCAGUAAUUGUCACAUCUGAUCCAAUUUCUUACCAUAACCAUACAAGACUGCUUCAAGGAACUGAAGUAGUAU
RNAcentral lists this long non-coding RNA (445 nucleotides) under Vulpes vulpes (red fox). RNAcentral describes it as "lncRNA (ENSVVUG00000006299.1)". The record is from RNAcentral. Lineage: Eukaryota; Metazoa; Chordata; Mammalia; Carnivora; Canidae.